UACAGGGGGUGCAAACGUUGCUCGGAAUCAUUGGGCGUAAAGCGCACGUAGGCGGUUUGUUAUGUCGGAUGUGAAAGCCCGGGGCUCAACCCCGGGUCGGCCGUGCGGACUGGCGUGCUCGAGCACUGUAGGGGCGGGUGGAAUUCCGGGUGUAGCGGUGGAAUGCGUAGAGAUCCGGAAGAACACGGGUGGCGAAGGCGGCCCGCUGGGCAGGAAGGCUCGCAAGAGCCGGCUGACGCUGAGGCGCGACAGCGUGGGGAGCAAACAGG
RNAcentral lists this ribosomal RNA (269 nucleotides) under uncultured bacterium. Its description in RNAcentral is "partial 16S ribosomal RNA". It matches the Rfam family "Bacterial small subunit ribosomal RNA", at positions 524 to 776 of the family's 1533-position model. The record is from RNAcentral.